This 488-nucleotide ribosomal RNA is filed under the name Mogibacterium diversum. Its description in RNAcentral is "partial 23S ribosomal RNA". It matches the Rfam family "Bacterial large subunit ribosomal RNA", at positions 1 to 499 of the family's 2925-position model. Lineage: Bacteria; Bacillati; Bacillota; Clostridia; Peptostreptococcales; Anaerovoracaceae. The record is from RNAcentral.
GUAAAGAUUUUAAGGGCGUACGGCGGAUGCCUUGGCGAUAUCAGCCGAAGAAGGACGCGGUAAGCUGCGAUAAGCUACGGAGAGGUGCAAGCAACCUUUGACCCGUAGAUUUCCGAAUGGGGGAACCCGGCAGUGGUUAUGCACUGUCACCCAUAGCUUAGACUAUGAGGAGGGCACCUGGGGAACUGAAACAUCUAAUUACCCAGAGGAAAAGUAAUCAAACGAGAUUUUCUUAGUAGCGGCGAGCGAACGGGAAAGAGGCCAAACCGGAGCGGGCAACCGCACCGGGGUUGAGGACAGUCAUCAAGUGUAAAUGAGGUAGAAGAAUCGAGUUGGAAAGCUCAGCCGCAGAAGGUGAAAGCCCUGUAAUCGAAACCUUGCAUACAUGGGACUGUAUCCAGAGUACCACGAGACACGUGAAACCUUGUGGGAAGCAGGGGGGACCACCCUCCAAGCCAAAAUACUGAUAUCGACCGAUAGCGCAUAGU